Molecule: long non-coding RNA, 340 nt
Organism: Sardina pilchardus (European sardine)
Lineage: Eukaryota; Metazoa; Chordata; Actinopteri; Clupeiformes; Clupeidae
Exons: 3
Source: RefSeq, a predicted model, not a curated record
UCCACAAAGCUCCACAACAGUAGAAGUGGUGUCCAACGGAAGUUAUCCCAUUCUACGAGGUGAUGGACAGCAUACUGGGAUAUCAACCCUGCAUGAGUGGCCAAAUAGUUCAGGACACCCUGGUGUUGGAAAAGCCUGAUAUACAUAUCUCAGAAUCUAGUCAUCUCCGCCACCGGAGUCCUCUUUAAGCCCCACUUCAUUUCCCUGCUCAAAACCUUUUUUGGAGGGGACCACACAUAAUGUGAAGUAUCCUCAUUCCUGAUCACGGAAUCUACACCAACAAGACCCUCAACUUCCACAUUCUUCAGAGAGCUGUCCCAUCACAUUCCUCCACGGACCA